This 548-nucleotide ribosomal RNA is filed under the name uncultured Glomeromycotina. Its description in RNAcentral is "SSU rRNA". It matches the Rfam family "Eukaryotic small subunit ribosomal RNA", at positions 548 to 1098 of the family's 1831-position model. Lineage: Eukaryota; Fungi; Glomeromycota. The record is from RNAcentral.
UUGGAGGGCAAGUCUGGUGCCAGCAGCCGCGGUAAUUCCAGCUCCAAUAGCGUAUAUUAAAGUUGUUGCAGUUAAAAAGCUCGUAGUUGAAUUUCGGGAUUAGUACGCUGGUCGUGCCUUCGGUACGUACUGGUGUUACUGAUUUCUACCUUCUGACGAACCAUCAUGUCAUUAAUUUGGUGUGGUGGGGAAUCACAGGACUGUUACUUUGAAAAAAUUAGAGUGUUUAAAGCAGGCUCGCGCUUGAAUACAUUAGCAUGGAAUAAUGAAAUAGGACGUUGAUCCUAUUUUGUUGGUUUCUAGGAUUGACGUAAUGAUUAAUAGGGAUAGUUGGGGGCAUUAGUAUUCAAUUGUCAGAGGUGAAAUUCUUGGAUUUAUUGAAGACUAACUACUGCGAAAGCAUUUGCCAAGGAUGUUUUCAUUAAUCAAGAACGAAAGUUAGGGGAUCGAAGACGAUCAGAUGCCGUCGUAGUCUUAACCAUAAACUAUGCCGACUAGGGAUCGGAUGAUGUUAUUUUUAAUGACUUAUUCGGCGCCUUACGGGAAAC